CCCCCCCAAAAAAAAAAAAAAAACCCAAUGCGUCAUGAAACAACGCAAAAUGAUUACGUCCGAUUGUCAUAAUAAUAAUAAUAAUAUCGCUGAGGUACCAGCAUGAUUAAAAAAUUCGUACAGUUUCUACUUGUACAUUGUGUACAUUGCCUAUUGCGGUUUACGUACCUCACAUCGUACACGUGUAUUCUGAGUGUCCUAACAGUGAUAUCCUUACGCUAAUAAUUCUGUUAACAAUCAUUUUUUCUCUACGCGUGUGUAACAAUUCGAUUUUUAUUUUCAUCUCUUGCAAUAAGCGACAAAAAAAAUAAUUUUUAUUUUUCAAAUUUUCAGACUGAAACAUUUUACAAAAUGGCUGUUUUGCGAAUUUCGAAAAAUGGAAAAACAAAGUAAUUUUUUUCAGCGAUUAAGGGGUGAAAAUAAAAACUUGAUUUUUCUCUACAUACGAGUCAAACAAUUUCCCCCACCACCGCCAUAACUAAAAAUCUCGUCAACGCGUGUUGACAGAAAUCAAAAACGUCAACACCAAAAUUUAUUCGAAUAAACACUCGUAUAUCCGCGGAAUUUUGAAUGUAGGUAGGUAGCCAUUUUAAUUUCAAAAAUCUACCCCCCCCCUCCCAUACCACAAAAGAGCGUCUAAAAAUGUCAAGCCCACGUGUUAUAAACACUGCAUCAUACUGUACGUAUAGGCUAUAUAAGUCAGUUUUUAUCCGUCAUUUUAAAUUUCGAAUCACCGUCGGGUACAAACAGACGUUAAGUCUAUGUAAGUAUGUAUGAAAACCGAAUUUCGUUUCCGGUGCGUAAACAUCACGUACGUCCGAUUUACUCGUUGAUUUUUUUUUUUUUUUUUUCCGGUGAUACGUGAUGUCGUGAUGUAUAAAAUGCUAUCGUAUUUUACAUAUUAUUAUUUUAACGAUUUCGGUCGGGAAAAACAUAAUUCGAUCGAGAUUUUAGUUAUUAUCGAAAAUACCCGCGCGGGAGAUGAUACCGAAAAUUGGGUUUGCCGGUCUCGAAACGUGAUUUUUCGCGCCUUUAUAAUAGUGAGCGUUAAAAAAAUAUUAUCGCAUCUCCGACGAGUUUUAGCUGCACAGUGUUAUAUCAUCUGUCUACCCGCCUGACUAUCCAGUCCGGUACCUACGCCUAGCAAACAUAUUAUAUUUCUUGUUUAUUCCAGAAAGCGUC
This is a non-coding RNA of Cinara cedri, 1182 nucleotides long. Lineage: Eukaryota; Metazoa; Arthropoda; Insecta; Hemiptera; Aphididae. The record is from the annotation of a GenBank genome assembly.